This 524-nucleotide long non-coding RNA is filed under the name Brassica napus (rape). RNAcentral describes it as "long non-coding RNA (BNAP_LNC026157)". The record is from RNAcentral. Lineage: Eukaryota; Viridiplantae; Streptophyta; Magnoliopsida; Brassicales; Brassicaceae.
UAUAUCUCUAUAAUAUUAUUUGACAAGUCAGUUUCCUAUGUGUCGCUCUCGCGUUAAUUCUUACGGCGGUUGAUUACAGAGAUACCCUUAAUAAACUAAAAAUAUUAUAUCUAAUUGCCAUUAUUAAAUUUUUAUUUAUUUUUAAUUUAGUUUUCCUUUCCUUUAUUAUCAUUCCAAAUAAUAUAUAUAAUAAAAGUAAGCAUUAAUUAAACUAUAAAUUUUUAAAAAUGAAAUAUGUAUCAAGAAUAAUUUGAUUUCAUAAAGAAGGAAAGUUCACAAUAAAAAAAAAGGAAAAUAAAUAUUUUAAAAACGAAAAUAUAUCACAUACAAAAUUUGAUUUCAUAAAAAAGGAAAGUUCACAAAAAUAAUCAUAAUAUUAGAAAUAUAUUUCUUUUAAAACAUAAUCUUAAAUAACAUAAUAUAUAUUUUAAAAGUAAUAAAAAUCUAAUUAUAAGAAUAAUUUUAGUAAUAACAACAAAAAAGUAGAUGUAAUAUAAUAUACCCAAAUAAUAAUCAAACCGACU